AGAGCGAACGCUGGCGGCAGGCCUAACACAUGCAAGUCGAGCGCGUGUAGCAAUACACGAGCGGCAGACGGGAGAGUAACACGUGGGAACGCGCCCUUCGGUUCGGAAUAACUCAGGGAAACUUGAGCUAAUACCGGAUACGCCCUUACGGGGAAAGAUUUAUUGCCGAAGGAACGGCCCGCGUCCGAUUAGCUAGUUGGUGAGGUAACGGCUCACCAAGGCGACGAUCGGUAGCUGGUCUGAGAGGAUGACCAGCCUCACUGGGACUGAGACACGGCCCAGACUCCUACGGGAGGCAGCAGUGGGGAAUAUUGGACAAUGGGCGCAAGCCUGAUCCAGCCAUGCCGCGUGGAUGAUGAAGGCCCUAGGGUUGUAAAGUCCUUUAACGGGGAAGAUAAUGACGGUACCCGUAGAAUAAGCCCGGCUAACUCGCGCCAGCAGCCGC
RNAcentral lists this ribosomal RNA (445 nucleotides) under uncultured bacterium. RNAcentral's name for it is "SSU rRNA". It matches the Rfam family "Bacterial small subunit ribosomal RNA", at positions 26 to 518 of the family's 1533-position model. The record is from RNAcentral.